Molecule: long non-coding RNA, 560 nt
Organism: Drosophila willistoni
Lineage: Eukaryota; Metazoa; Arthropoda; Insecta; Diptera; Drosophilidae
Exons: 3
Source: RefSeq, a predicted model, not a curated record
UUCUGCAGCCCUAGUAAGCAGAGGAGAAGCACGUGGUAUUUAGAUUUUUAACCAUUUUGAGCUUGGGUUGUGCCUGCUGAAGAGCAUGGAAAAAUGCCUAAAACUUCAAAUGCUUUGACCGCUGAAGCAAAUCUGACUGUGCAGGAUGCUGUUGUGGAUGAGGAAUCCGAAAAUAAUUGCUGCACAUUGAAGCGAAAAAAGAAGGCAUCGCAAGUUUGGACAUAUUUUGAUAAAGCCCAAAACAAAAUGAUUGCCAAAUGUCGCCUUUGCGGAAAGUCAUAGAAGAAGUGGCAAUACAUCAAAUUUGAUUGAACAUCUGAAACGUGCUCAUCCACUGAAAUCAAAUAAGACACCAAAUUUAAAUACGUUGGAUAAAUAUGUAAAAAGCAAAGAUGUAUAUGAACUUUCAUCAUCCAAAAAAAUAAUGAUUGACAGAGCACUAGCUCGAAUGAUAUCUAGAGAUGUGCAGCCCUACAGCAUCGUGGAAGAUGAAGGACUUACAAUUAGAUAUUUAAUACAUGUGUUGGAUCCACGUUAUACAGUGCUUAUCAUAUGUAUAA